GUGAUUAUGAAUAUUGCAUGAAUAUAUCGCUGAAUGUAUGCAGGGAUGUGACACUUAGUUGUGGCGUAUGGCUUCUGUUAGGCAGGAAUCUUAUUUAGCAUUACAGAUGUAUGGAUUGGUCCCAGUUUGAGGAAAGUUGGUUUAAGAGAAUAUUUAUUUGCAUUUGUGGUUUGAAAGGCGGCCAAGGAAUAAGAGUAAAUACCUCAUGCAGUAUUUGACGGAGGAAUAGGUUUACAAAUGCAAAUUUGAAGUUACGGUGGUUUCUCACUCGAGUAAAAUGUUUCAUUCCUGUUCCAAAGAGCAGAUGCCCAACAAACAUCCCUGUGCAGGAAAAGGAAACUCUUCCUUAAACAUCCUGCAGCAAACGUGACUGAUGGAGCUUCCUUUUCCCUCUGCCUGGUGCAUUUCCCCUCUUUACACAGACAGGAUCUAACCAGAUUUGCAGGCUAUGAACUGAGGUUACUUUCAAAUUCAUAACUGUGAAAUGUUCGUUUAGCAGGACAGAGGCCAGGCCAGCAGACACCCUUCUUCCAGCCCAGCGUGUGCAUAGCAGUAGGGGGGUGGCAAGGAGCUUUUGUUAAUCUCAACCAAGCUGGCAAGAAUGCUGCAAAACGAAGGCUUUGAAGAUACUUUUUCUUCAUUCUUAAAGCAACAGUUAGUUCAAGAAAGCAUAAAAAUCUUGCCAAAAAAAUCUAUAAAAUAUUGAAAGACCUCCCUGGCAGUCAUGUAAAUUCCCCCACUAGUAAUUAGCCUCUGCAGUUUCAUUUAACAGACAUUUUUUUCACAGGUUCUGUUCUGAUGCAACUGUGAAAAUGCUUUUUCCCCAGCUUGAAUGCACUUCUUGACAAAAAUGGAUGGUGGAAAGGAUUUAGGGUAUCGGGUCAGGCUGGGUCCAGUCCAAGCAGCAGUGGGCUUUUUUUUCCCCUUCUAUUUUAAACUUGUAGGAAUUGAAAGCUUAAAGGGCUUCAUGUUUAGAGCUGUUCUCCAAGUAGUUGGGACUCAGUCCACUUCCUAAUGUGCUCACAUCACAAGACCAACCGCUGCCACUUGCUCUUUUGUCUGAGCUCCAGUGGAGGGCUGAGGUGCUGACUGUGGCACAAGGGAAGUUCCCACUUGCCCAGGGCUGAGCCAGCUCUCCCCCCAGCAGCCCAGGGGAAGGCUGCUCUGUGACACCGACACCGCUCCCCGUUACUGAGCCCAAACCAUCCCCUGCCCUGUCAUAAAGAGCGACUCCUUCUGGGGAUUGGUUUAGAUGUUUUUAUUUUGUAUUUAUAAUUUCACAUAAAAAUAAAAACAAGUGCUAUAGAUCUUUAUUUCCACUGGGAUGAGGUUCAGGCCUGCUCCUGAGUGCUUUUAAUUCCUAAGCUUCAGGACUAGAUCUUUGCUCUCAGAAACAAAACAGUGCAGAAGAAACCAAUUUGUACCCUGAAGCCAGCAAUGUCGGUAGCAACGUUCACAUGGGUGGUUGUUCAUUUUUUUUUCUUGUGAAGUAAUGCAAUACAUAAGUAUACUGAAGGAUGAGAUAAAAUGCAAUUAUUCUUUUUGAAUAGACGUGGUUGGACGCUACCCUGUGACCUCAGUGAAUUUUGACACAUCAGCAAUGAGCUACGUUUUGGAUAGGAUGAGGGUUUGUCUACUAGUACAUACACAGCACUGGCUUCUUCCAUGAGGUCGGAUUGUGGAGUUGUUUCAGAUGUGGUUAUCAGUGGACCCAGCCCUGCUGUGACAUGAAGCUAUCAAGAAUUUUGGCUUGCUAAAAAAGAUUCCAUUUGAAGGGACGUGCUUUUGUCCCUCCCACCCCCCAACAUACCAGUUCUGAUUGGAUGGUAAAUACUUGCAGGGAACAGGCAGAAAGACCGCUGUCCCUUAAGUGCCCAAAUCCGGCAGCACUUCUGAAGGCUCAGAAGUAAAGCCCCAUGCAGGCCUAUCUGCUGGGGUGUGGCUUCUUUGUAAUCCUUCCAUUUGAGACAAAUCCCAUUAUUUUAGCAGAUCACACCAAUUUAAAGUGAAGUCUGCAGGAUUUGUGCUAAUAUCCACUGACUCUUCUUCCUCGACAGCAGAGGGCUCAGUGUGGUGUAACAUGGCCGUAGGUAGGGGCUGGGUCACAGAAACAGCUGGACAGUAGCAUUUAAAAUACAAAUAAAAUAACUGAAACAAAUAAAGGCACCAGACGUGACAGCCAACUUUGGUAGAUUUCUUGCAGAAUAUAUGCAUUUAAAUACAUUUACAGUUUACAAGGCUAUACUGUUUUUAAAAAAAGCUGCACCUCUUUGUAGAGCAAAGCUGAUCCCGGACAUACCGCCCCGCUUUCUGUUGUCUGGGUGGUUCAGACCCUGCCAUGUGUGUGUUUAAAAACAAAAGAGUUAUCUUUAUAAGGGUAAAUUUUUUGCUCAGCAUUCAACAUCAAUGUUUGUGGGGGCUUUAGUCUCUCUUUCAGAUCCGUGUAUGGAUUGAUACUGCUGGGGUUUUAAGUUUGCUAAGCAAAGCAAGAACAGUCAAUAUAAAUCUGUCACAACCCCCAGGAACGGUCAGCCUGCUGUCUGAGCGUCAUUAGGAACUGUAAGAGUCAGCGCAGAGCUUUGGGGUGCAGUGGGGAGCGCUGGGCUCUGAGCACUGUGCUCUGAGGAGCACUCGCAGCACGAUUCCUCUUGCUGUUGGCAGAGCUCCUUGUGGCAGUACGGUGCUGCCACAGCCUGCAGCAGCUUUCUGUCUUGAUUUGAUGCUACGAAGGAGGAAGGUGUUUUACCUUGUCAACAAUUUGCUUGAGAGAGCAUCACAUCACCCCUCUGACACUUUUGUUGGUUUUGGUUGCUGUUGUUUGUGUCUCCAGUGUAAAAGGGAAAGGUACAUGGUAAUAUUCCAGGCUGUGGUGAGGUUUAACAGCUCAGAAAUUAGUUACACUGCUCAGAGCAUCUUCCUCCCAGUCUGCAGUGCUACCAGGAGGAGCUGUGAGGGCCAGAGGAACCAUAACCUCCCAUCUCCCCCCCACUGCGCGGUCCCAGUUGAGAUAUUUGGAGAAAGUCCUCUAGCAUUUAAUUUAUUUGCCCGAUUAAUUAAAUUAAGGCAAGUGCAUGUUACCGAAGUUACAGUGGGGAGCCGAGCAUGUGUAUGUCCAGCUGAGCACAUGUGAUUCAGAUUUGGCAGCGAGAAGUGCUCAGCAAGAAGGCCACGAAGCCUCUCAUAGCCUAAGCAUCACGAGCGAGGGAAAGGUUUGUUUCCAGUCUCCUGUAGUACAGACGAGAGGCACAGAGGGACGCCGUGCUGGAGCCAGGGCACAAAGAUCUCCCAGGUCUCUGCAUUUAGUCCCCCUGUAUCUCUGGCGACCUGCAAUGAGUUCGUAUUCAAGUACAAGAAGGACAGAAGCUGACGAAGGAGAAGUGAUGGAGAACCUGGAAUAAUGGCUUUUGUUCUCUGCUGAGCAACAGCAGCUAUCUGAAAUCACUUUCAAAAGUCUCAAAGGCGCACAGAUCAGCGCUUUGAGGGCCCAAAACAACGGAACAAAACGACGUGCCUUUCUCCAAGCAGUUAUUUGCCUGCAUGAUUAAGGACCAAGGUUAGAGUCUUCCUUCAGAUAGGAACCCGAGUUUAGCUGCCCACAAAGAACAAAAGGAAAAACCUUAACCAGUUAAAGCCAUGGCAGAAGUCAGUCAGCUGCAGGUUUUCAGGAGAUAGAACGAAGAAGGGAAGCUUCUCCUCCCCGACAGGGCACGCACGACGGCCCGGCAGCGCGCAGAGAGGCACCAGCGGCUCCGCACCACUCCCGGCUCCGCUCCAGCAGCGCGGCGGUGCCGCCGGGCCGGGCAGCGCUGGCCGG
This is a long non-coding RNA of Gallus gallus (chicken), 3814 nucleotides long. The record is from Ensembl. Lineage: Eukaryota; Metazoa; Chordata; Aves; Galliformes; Phasianidae.